CGGAGUGUGGCUCAGCCUGGUAGAGCACCUCGUUCGGGACGAGGGGGUCGCAGGUUCAAAUCCUGCCACUCCGA
Molecule: transfer RNA, 74 nt
Rfam family: tRNA
About the family: Transfer RNA (tRNA) molecules are approximately 80 nucleotides in length.
Source: Rfam